GGAUAACUACGCGAAAGCGUAGCUAAUACCGCAUACGCCCUACGGGGGAAAGCAGGGGAUCGCAAGACCUUGCACUAUUGGAGCGGCCGAUAUCGGAUUAGCUAGUUGGUGGGGUAACGGCUCACCAAGGCGACGAUCCGUAGCUGGUUUGAGAGGACGACCAGCCACAUUGGGACUGAGACACGGCCCAGACUCCUACGGGAGGCAGCAGUGGGGAAUCUUCCGCAAUGGACGAAAGUCUGACGGAGCAACGCCGCGUGAGUGAUGACGGCCUUCGGGUUGUAAAGCUCUGUUAAUCGGGACGAAUGGUUCUUGUGCGAAUAGUGCGAGGAUUUGACGGUACCGGAAUAGAAAGCCACGGCUAACUACGUGCCAGCAGCCGCGGUAAUACGUAGGGCGCGAGCGUUGUCCGGAAUUAUUGGGCGUAAAGGGCUUGUAGGCGGUUGGUCGCGUCUGCCGUGAAAUCCUCUGGCUUAACUGGGGGCGUGCGGUGGGUACGGGCUGACUUGAGUGCGGUAGGGGAGACUGGAACUCCUGGUGUAGCGGUGGAAUGCGCAGAUAUCAGGAAGAACACCGGUGGCGAAGGCGGGUCUCUGGGCCGUUACUGACGCUGAGGAGCGAAAGCGUGGGGAGCGAACAGGAUUAGAUACCCUGGUAGUCCACGCUGUAAACGUUGGGCACUAGGUGUGGGGGCCACCCGUGGUUUCUGCGCCGUAGCUAACGCUUUAAGUGCCCCGCCUGGGGAGUACGGCCGCAAGGCUAAAACUCAAAGGAAUUGACGGC
This 783-nucleotide ribosomal RNA is filed under the name uncultured bacterium. RNAcentral's name for it is "bacterial SSU rRNA". It matches the Rfam family "Bacterial small subunit ribosomal RNA", at positions 141 to 917 of the family's 1533-position model. The record is from RNAcentral.